RNAcentral lists this ribosomal RNA (539 nucleotides) under Nemopsis bachei. RNAcentral describes it as "partial 16S ribosomal RNA". It matches the Rfam family "Bacterial large subunit ribosomal RNA", at positions 1797 to 2515 of the family's 2925-position model. Lineage: Eukaryota; Metazoa; Cnidaria; Hydrozoa; Anthoathecata; Bougainvilliidae. The record is from RNAcentral.
UGACUGUUUUUCCAAAAACAUAGCCCUUGAAAUAAUCAAAGGUGUAACCUGCCCAAUGGCUUCUAAAUAAAGAAAAAUAAAAUUUUUCUAAUAAAGCUUAAAGGACGCAGUAUCUUGACUGUGGUAAUGUAGCAUAAUCACUCGCCACUUAAUUGGUGGAUAGUAUGAAUGGUUGAACGAAUAUUACACUGUCUCUUAAAGAAAACUUAUGAAAUUAAAAUAAUAGUAAAGAUGCUAUUUAAAGCUGUAAGACGAAAAGACCCUAUAGAGCUUAACUACAUUAUAUGUUAAAAACUCAAUAAAUAAUAAAAUUUAAAUAACACAUAUUUUGGUAGUUUAGUUGGGGCGACUAUCUUUUAAAAUAAACAAAGAUAAGCAAAAUUAAUAAAAUAAUUUAUUGUAUAAUCUAUAAAUUUAACAAUUAUAAAAAUAGGCUUUAAUGACCCAUUAGUUCUUUAUAACAAGACUAAUGAUUAAUAAAUAAAAGCUACCUUAGGGAUAACAGGAUAAUUUGUUUUAGAGAUCUAAUCGAAAACCAA